Molecule: ribosomal RNA, 253 nt
Filed under: uncultured bacterium
Lineage: Bacteria
Description: partial 16S ribosomal RNA
Rfam family: Bacterial small subunit ribosomal RNA
Source: RNAcentral
UACGGAGGGUGCAAGCGUUGUUCGGAAUCACUGGGCGUAAAGCGCGUGUAGGCGGCUAUCUAAGUCUGAUGUGAAAGCCCUGGGCUCAACUCAGGAAGUGCAUUGGAUACUGGAUAGCUGGGGUACCGGAGAGGAGGGUGGAAUUCCUGGUGUAGCGGUGAAAUGCGUAGAUAUCAGGAGGAACACCGGUGGCGAAGGCGUCCCUCUGGCCGGAUACUGACGCUGAGACGCGAAAGCGUGGGGAGCAAACAGG